AUCAAAAUCUGCAUCUUACCUAAAGUCUAAGAAGUGAACUUGAUUACCUUUCAGAAUGACCUGAUACAUUUGAAAAUCUGGAAUACCUGGCUUCUAUUCCCAAACCCCUUUCAACAUGUUUGGAGUCCAGUGAACUGUGCAUUUUCAGAAAAUUUCCUUACGAAUAGCCAAGCUCAGGAACUGUCCAUCUUGUUCAUUUUCUCUGUUCUGACUCUGUAUAUUCAAGAUUAUAAGCCAACAUGAAAAUAAGGGUCAACUGAAUUAUCCCUACACUAUCAGUAAUGUUUCCACCCAGCAUCUACUAUCAACAAAAAACCCCUAUGCAGUAUAAAUUUCCAGAACACCUGCAGAGGAUAAUAGGACUCCUGCUGCCGAUGGAGGAGGUGGAGCUGGAGAAAUGAGAGGAAGAGGAACAACCCCGGGUUUAAGGAGCAGAGCUGUCACAGAAAAGAAGGGACUACAAACACGGCCUUGAAGAAAAAGAUGGCUGUGUGGCUGAUGAUGUGCCCUGAGGCCCGGCUGUAGGCAGCCGGGCACACUGGACCCCGCGGCAGGCGGGGCUGGACUCUGUGCCCACAGCCGGUAAACAGCCUUAAGCCAGCAGUGGCAGUGAGCCGGACAUGUGGGGUAAAAAUAACAGCUCCCUAUCGGGGCCCAGUCUGCCAGACCCUGGUGAAGUUCGUUUCUUUCAAUAAAUCCAGCAGCUUCCCCUUUGAUAAAUGCUGCCAAGGCUGGAA
Molecule: long non-coding RNA, 737 nt
Filed under: Chinchilla lanigera (long-tailed chinchilla)
Lineage: Eukaryota; Metazoa; Chordata; Mammalia; Rodentia; Chinchillidae
Description: lncRNA (ENSCLAG00000024894.1)
Source: RNAcentral